UGCGCAUUAAUGUAAUACGGAAACUGAAGGCCACUGCAGAAGCACAUGUGCAGUGGCUGUCAAAUUCGGCAUUUAAAUUCGCAGACAAGAAAACAUUGUUUAAAGUCGAGCGUUUGCGGUUGCAUUUCUAAUGGUUUGACAAAUACGAACAACAAUAAUCAACCAUGGGUAUCAAAGAUUUGCAGGGGUAUUUGGAGACCCACUGCGCGGGCGCUUGCAUGUCAGUUGACCUGUUAAAAAUUUCCCGUGGAUUUAUUCCAAAAAGGCGUGGCAUGCCAAGUGGCUCGGGACGGUUUUGCCUUAUUGUAGACGCUGAGAGCUGCCUAGAUCGUCUGUAUGGCGGUUACUACUCGGACUGGGUGUGUGGUGGGCAGUGGAACCGCAUGAUAGCGUUCCUGUCAAAUUUGCAACAGGCUUGUCACAAUGCAAACCUGGAAAUGGUCGUGUUUUUUAACGGUGCUCUUGAGAGUCAAAAAAUGGACACCUGGUACACGUCUCAGGUGAACCAGAAGAAAAAAGUAAACAUGGUCUUACGGCAUAUUUAUAACCGUGGCACACCCCCUCCCAAAGUUUGGUGGAAUCCGCCAGUUUUUCUGAGUGGGGCAUUAAGGCUUGCUUUGCGGGAUUUAGGUAUCGGUGUUGCUAUGUCAAUGGAUGACCAUGAACAAGAAGUGAUAGGUUUCUGCCGAGAACACGGACUUCAAGGGAUUCUCGGGCAAAACCCAGUAUAUGUCAUCUUCAAUCCACCCAGAUACUUUUCCAGCCAAAAUCUGAAGUUGACCUACAAAGCAUCUCUGGAAACAAAAGAAUAUGUCAUGGAUGAGAUUGCAAAGGCGCUAGACUUAAAUCCAAACAGAUUUUGUCUCUUUGCUGCAUUACUAGGAAACCAUUUACUUACAGAAGAGGACCUCUAUGAUUUCUACAAAGAGUUGUUAACUCGGGCAAGUCAGGAUGCUGGGAAAACCGUUAAGCCCAUUCCUGAGAAUGUUGUGAAAGCAGUUGUGGAUUAUGUUCGCAGUAUUCCAGACAUCACCAACUUGGAUAUUGUUGGAGAGGCAGUAUUCAGGAGCACAGUUAAGGGCAACAAGACAGACCUGGUAUCCAAGCUGAGGCAGAGUGUGCAGUACUACUUCAAUGGAACAGAAGAAGGCUUCCUUAGAUACAGGCCAAGACAUGUGGCGGCUGGUUUCCAGCCCAGCCCGAUGUUAAACAUGCCUAGUGAGAUGGCUGGAUACGGAGGCCAGGGUCCAGUCAAUGGGCAGGGAGCAGCCAGACUGAGCCCAGAACUGCACAUACCUCAUCAGAAACACAAAACUCGCGGUGUUGGUGGAAAGGAGGUUGAACUGCCUCCAGUGUCAAGUGAGAUCAUGAGAAUAGCCAGUGAGCGGCACCAGAAGGGGGUCAUGUCUCCUUGGAUCUACCAAGUCCUUACACAGGCUGAGAUUAAGAUGGUGGUCUCCCUGGAGGAUGAAGCCAACCGUGAGCUGCCUACCAGUAUGGACCUGUUCCGGGCGGUCAGACAGACGACAUUCAGUGUACUGCUUAACCUCAACAAACUCAAGAUUAUACACGAUAACCAGCUUCAGGAAAAAGUGGAUGGAUCGGGUGCAGCCAAGCACCCCAACACACCUCAAGUCACCCUAAAGAACUUCGAAGUACCCAUCAAGGAGUGGGUAGUCCGUCGUGUGGGCAGCCAAAAACCCAGCUUUGAUCUGGUGAUCGCCCGGCCUGUCGAGUGGAAGACACCCAGUAUAGAGCGUAUGUGGCUGGGUCAACAGGCAGAAGAUAAGACGAGAAGAUUGCGCGCAUUUCUGACGAUAAUGCACAGCGACACCCCACUGAUGCUGAACACGAACUAUGUGCCUCAGCAUCUUCUAGUCACAUGCUGUGUUCUCAGGUACAUGUUGGAGUUUGGUAGAAUCCUACAGCGACAGGAGCUGGACGCUUUCCUUGCCAUGUCUGUAUCACCCCUGCUGCAUGACGUGCAAACCAUGCAGGACCUCAAGCUGCCGUCAGUCCAGCCCCGUGGUGUUGCUCUGGCGGCACUCUUCAUGUCUGGCAUCGAGGUGGCGCAGUUUGCCAACGACGUGUGUGGUGCGCCGGUGCCCUGGAACAUGAUCCUGCCCUGGAAUUUCUUUGACGGGAAACUGUUCCACUUCAAGCUUCUCAAGGCAUCCAACAACACCCCAUUGAUGGACAUGUGUGACGGACAGGUGGAGCAAGUGUUGAGGGUGGAGCGUCUCCGCCAGGCCAUCCUGGAGAACCUCAAGUUUGAGUUCGCCAAGCAGUACCUGCCAGGCACUGCCCUAUAUGGGGGCUACCCCAUGCCAUACGGGCAGGUACCCGGCGGGCCCUUCCCGUACCGGCCUGCGGGUAUGGGCCGCAUGCCUCCUCAGCCCCAGCCCGUGGGCCUUGGACGCGGUGGAAACAUGAACUUCAUGGGGCAGGGCAUGAUGGGACCUGGACUGAACCCACAGGGGCGCGGGCGUGGAAUUCUGGGUUACAAGCAUCGAAACCCAGGACGGUCCCCUGUAGAUGGUAGAGGUGGUCAGCUGGAAAUAGCUGGGGUGGUUGUGGGCAGCUGGGGACCAAACCUGUCAGCCGCAUCUCGAGGGAGCAGGGGCAAUAACUCCAUCCAGCCGAGGGUCAUGUCAGUUGGUGGGCCACGAAGGGGUGCUGGGCGUGCCAUGUUCUACAGAGGGGGCAUGAACAGAGGGGCCAUGAGGGGUGGACGUGGGGGCAUGCCUAUGCCCUUCAUGAGAAUACCUGAAAGGCCCUACUUUGCGCGGAUGCCGCGGGGUCAGAUGGCACGAGGAGUUGUGAGGGGAAUUAGACGACCGUUCGUGCGUGCCCGUCCAAAACCAGGAGGGAAGAAAAAGACUGGAAAAGGAAGGGGCAUGACCAUCGACACUGAUGGAAUGCCAAAAUCUGGAUCCCAAGAUGAGGACGACGAUGGUGAAAAUGAAGACGAUGAGAAUUUUGAGGAUGCCGAGGACGAGGGAGAGGAUGAUAAUGGUGCAAUAGGUGAGUGAAACAGGGUUGGUACAGAUUACUAGAAAGAUAAUUGAGGGAGAGGAUAAUAAUGGUGCAAUAGGUGAGUGAAACAUGGUUGGUACAGAUUACUGGAAAGAUAAUUGAGGGAGAGGAUGAUAAUGGUGCAAUAGGUGAGUGAAACGUGGUUGGUACAGAUUACUGGAAAGAUAAUUGAGGGAGAGGAUGAUAAUGGUGCAAUAGGUGAGUGAAACAUGGUUGGUACAGAUUACUGGAAAGAUAUUUGAGGGAGAGGAUGAUAAUGGUGCAAUAGGUGAGUGAAACAGGGUUGGUACAGAUUACUGGAAAGAUAAUUGAGGGAGAGGAUGAUAAUGGUGCAAUAGGUGAGUGAAACAUGGUUGGUACAGAUUACUGGAAAGAUAAUUGAGGGAGAGGAUGAUAAUGGUGCAAUAGGCAAGCGGCUCCUACAGAAUGGAAUUCAGAGUCCAGACAGUGGUAUCCACGGCGAUAAGUCGGCCACCGAAAUCACCCUGUCUGCAUAAUAUGUCCUGAAAGGCCAGGAACAACAAAGGCGCUGCCCUAUGCCCGUGGUCUUUGUGUUUCAAUUAAAGGGGAGUAACUCAGGGGUGUGUUUUGUUUCAAGCUUAGAAAAUGUAAGUUUUGUGUUUGGUAAAUUGUCCUUGAUAUUAUUUUUUUGUCUGGUAAUAAAUAUAUAAAAAUAUAAACUAUUAAUGGUUAAUAUAACAUGAAUAAUUCUAUGGUGAUUUUAAUUUAUAGAUGUUAAACAAGUGCUAUAAAAUUACUUGAAGUGAAAAAUCGUUUUUUAAAGGGUUCUUAUUAAUAAUGUAGCACUCGAGUUACUUCCCUUAGCAACGUGUUCAUAUACAUGAGAUGUCAUAUUGCAUUUUAAUGCCAAAUGGGUUACUAUGAAAACAGUUUUAUUGAUGUGAAAUGUGUGUGAAAUAUAUUGAUGAAUGUUUUAUAGUGUAGCGAAAUGGGUAAAAGUAUAUCUACAUUAUAAGUAAGUAAAGGACCUUGUAAAACUGUUUGUAUGGUAUAUGAAAGGAAUUCAUGAUUAUUUGCUAGGGAUCCGUUGAAAAGUGCUAAGAUUUUUUCCAUUUGUUAUUUGUUCCCUUGCAAGCAAUCAUUACUGUAUGUGUUUGUUUUGAUCAUAUUUUAUACAAAUCUAUUAUUUUUUAUACAUUGAUGAUUGUAUGUUUCGUUGUUUUGCUAUUGUACUGUUACCAGCAGAUUGUGACUUUACACACGAUAGAUGUUUUAUUGACAGGUUCAUAGUAUGGGUUCUAUUUCUGGGAGACUGUCUCACAGGGAUGAAGAGAUGAGAGAAGGGCCAACGAUAGAUGUAUUCAUGAUCAUUUGUUGAUAUGAUUGAUAUUAGGAUAAAUAAGUGAAUAUUGAACAAACUUGGACUUGUUUAGGGGUAUAAAAAUGGGGGAAUUUAUGUUCAGUAGGUCUAGGAUUCCUAUUGAGUGUGCCGACAUAUGUCACAUUAGUGAAACGUAUGUGUUCAAUUUAUGAGCACUCAUUCUGUCAUGUGUGUUUUCUUCGAAAUUUUGACUUCAUAUCAUAAAGAUUGGUUUGACAUGGCUAGCUUUGUCAGUUAGCCUGUGAACUGGGUUCAGAUGUGUGCACUUGACAUAUAUUCUGCAUAAAUAAGUGUUCCAUGCACUUGGACUUUUAAAGAUGUGAAUUUGAAAUCGUUAAGUGCUAUUGGAGGCUUCAUAACUUUAGGCAGAGGGAAGACUUGCCAAAUCUUUUCUUAUGUCAUAAGAGAACAUUCAGAUAUCGAGAAAGUGACUUUGAAUUGUAGUAUAGAAAUUGAACACAAAAUGUCUACUAUUGAAUAGACAUUUUGGCAUUUCUUGCUGCAUUGUGUUGAAUUGUAAAAUAAAUUAUUAAAGAAGGUUUCAUAGUCAUUUGUUAGGACUCUAGUUCUUGUUAGUCUAACUAAUAAGAAUGUACUGAUAUAUUUUGUGCUGAUGUCACUAGAAAUGUCUACAUUGAUAUAUGUGAUGUAUUAUUAUCUACCUUAAACCAUUUGAGGAUACUUGAUCAUUUAAAAAUGACUUGUAAAAUUAGGUCAAUCUCUUACAAAAAAAGUUCAGAAUUAAUUAGAUGUGCAACCACAAAUGUUUGUUCCUAGAAUUGUUUUUGUAACAUACUAAAUCGGCAGAUGUAGUCAAGACUUGGUUAAACAUCCAUACCUAAGUCUGCCGUUUGAGAUGAGCAAAAUAAAGUAUGUUUUAUUAAAAUUUGACUAGGCUCUGUUAUAUCUUUAUAACAUAUUUUAAAAGUCUAAGAAGACUUUGGGACUGUAAUAAGGGUUUUGCGUUUGUAGUUUGUUCUUUUGAAAGUUCAUUGUUGAAUUGUUUACUUUCAACGUACUUAUAACUAGUAAAUUAAUGCUUUGAUAUUAUUUUGUUGAAAAGCAGUUCCAAAUUGCCUUGUUUUAUGAAUAAAAAUGAGAACUCAUUUUUUUAAGAAACUUGCUGUUAGCAUUCCCAGGAGUUUCAAAUAUAAUAAUGCUUUGUUUAAAUAGCAGUUCUUAUUAAAUAAUAAAAAUGUAAACUGACAUGUAAUAUGAAUCUUUUAUCUAAAAAUAUUGAGAAUUAUACGAACUGAAAAUGUAUUAUAGUUAUUUUCUUUGUAGUACUUGUAUUACUAUUAUUGUUCAGUUUGGUGUAUUUUAUAUAAUUCUUAAUAAGCAUAGCAUUGCUUAAACAUUUUCUUUAAAUGAGAAUAUGUUCUUUUUAAAAUAACUAAGGAAAUUGAUACGCUGCAAUUUUACUACUUUCAUUUUUUUCCAAAAAAGCAAUGCUAUGUUUGAAAUUAUUAAUGCAAUAUAAAGAGAGAAAAAAGCAAAAAAAAAUGUUUUUAUUAAAUUGUAAAUAAAAAUGCUAAAAGAUGCACUCUUUUAAUGGAAAUUGUGGGAAUGCAAUGAAGAAAAUCGAUUCCCAGAUGUUGAAUAAUUUGUUACAAAUAUUUCAAAAGAAUGUUUGUUGAUCAAUUUUGAAUUGGCUUGUCAUAUAAUAUUAUCAUUAAGUACUUUCUAGAUUAAAGCUAGAUUAAGGUGCAAAUAUGAAUAUUUGUUUUACUACUCUAAUAUUGUGUGUUGCAAAUAUUGUGUGCAUAAAGUAGGUAUUUUCUAUAUAGCUUUUGUUAUUUGAAAAGUUUUGUGGCAGAUUCAUGUUUCUCUAUCAAUUUUUCUCAUGUUUUAAAAUGCUGGUAUUUUAAAUUUGUAAACCUUUUUGGAAUUACAAAAAACUGCAGCGCUCAUAAUGGAUGAAAUCUUUUAAUUUGAAAACAUUUCUAUCUUGAUUUGUUUUCUCUCAACCUUAAAUUGAAUUGUAUAAAUUCUUUUAUGGAAAAAUAUAACUUGAUACCAGUAUUUGAAUACCCAUUUGUCAUAUGUUUAUUCUUGCAUGUGUUUACCUAGGAGUAAUAUACCAUUAGUAAUCAAUGUAGUAUGUUUGUUGUCAGAAUAAGAAUUUCUAUUUAAAAAAAAGAAGAAACAAUGAUUAAGGAAUAACUUACCGUAUUAAGCAUUGGCAGAUAAUGUGAAAAUUGUUAAAACUCGAUUUGAUUAUUUCCUGUUGUUAUUGUUCAGAAUAUAAUAUCAACAGUUGUGCUCAUAAAACAAAUUUUGUCACUAUUGGGCGGCUAUAUUAAAAUUUUGACUUUUCAGCUUUACAGGAGUCUGAGCUUUAGUCAGUGUUAACAGUUUCAUCUUCACAUAAGCGUUUCUUUUUAAUUUGAUCAUGGGAAGCAAAACUAGUGUCCUUGACAUAUAAUUAAAAGCACAAAGUUUAAGAUGGAAAUAUGAAAAGUACUCAAGAAUUUAAUUUCGGGAAUAGUGAAAAUCUAAUAACCAAAAGAGGGGCCAUUUUAUGUGCAUGCAGUUAAUGUAGAUACUUAUAAUAUGAAGAAGAAAAGUGUUAUAUAAAAAAAGUGUUAAUAAGGUUUUGUGCACAGGCUAAUCAGGGACAACACUUAGCUAAAACUAGAUUUUCGGUAAAAAGGGACUUCCUUUAAACGAAAAAUACCAUUAAAGCGGAAAGUGUCGUCCCUGAUUAGCCUGUGCGCACUGCACAGGCUAAUCUGAGACGACACUUUACGCACAUGCAUUUUGCCCAAUUUUCACAGAACAAGACACAAUUGUACUUAUGUUGGUGUUUUGAGCUUUUGUUUUGUUCUUUCUCUGUGGUUUCACAAAAAACGUUUUUGCUUCAUAUGAUAGAGUCUUCGUGGUGUUUUAUGUAUUUAGCAAUAUAUACUUUGAGUAAACAAGUUAUUGUCAUGCUAUUAUGAAUAGUAAGGAAAAAUAUUGUUGAGGUGUAAUUGAACUUGCUAUCAUGGCUUCUAAUUUUUUUAAAGCCCAAAACUUUAUGAUGUAAAAUCUUGUUGGCAUAAUUUCUAUUAAAAAAACUUUAUUAACUGAUAUUUGAUUUGGAAAAACUUCAUAACUGUUUCAUGAGAAUUAACAAAAUCUGUUUUGGUUGACAUACUGAGAAGUUUAGAUGAUGAAAACUUGAUUUUAUAAAAUUGUUUAGUUUUUAUGCGACUGGGAGUAAAUAGCUUACACAUUGAUCAUAUAACAUGUAUAUCCCUUAUUUUCUUUUUAUUUCUUUUCCCCUUGCUUUGUUUAGUUAGGUUAUUCAGUAUCUUGUUUUUCUUUGUGUUUCAUGCAAACAAGAUGUCACGAGUAUCGUUUGCUGAUAACAGCUUUAGAGACUACAGUCAAUACUGGUAGUUGUCUGUUCACAAGAUUAAGUAUUUUACCUUAUCUCUGUCCACAGCAAAUUAGUAUCAGUUUUCAUUUAAUAAUAAUGCUCUGCGAAAAAUUGUUUGCGAAAUUUUGGUCAUUGAUUGUUCAUUUAGGACACCUUAAAAUGUUUAUUGUUAAGUUGAACAAUGUGCACUUUUAUUCAAUGGACAGAUAGGCUUAAUAGAAAUGCAGUCGAAAUAGUUUUCAGGGGACGUGAUUGGGGUUAGGUUCUUCCUCAGGCACAUGUGCAUUUGAUUUUUGAAACAGGUCAGAACUCAAAGGGAGGUAAUAUAAGUCUUGUAAUUUGGUACAUUUUGUUGUCAUUUGGGGAACAAAUUGUCCCAUCAAUCGUGUUUACCAGUCACUUGUCAGGAUUGUUAUGCCUUCAUCAUAUCCCUGACAAUUAAAAAAAAUUAACUGAAUACAAGAAUUAAGAUGUAGUUUAAAUUAUAAUCUUAAUAAAAUAUAAUUUUUCAAGAGAUUUCAAUAAUAAUUAUAAUGCAAAAUGAUGGAAUUGUUGGUUAGAGCUGGAAAUGUGGAGAACCGUUGGAGAGACGUUGUAUGGAACAGCUGUUAUUUUGAUUAAAUGUUGUUUUGGA
This is an RNA transcript of Dreissena polymorpha, 8376 nucleotides long. It is a transcript of the gene named constitutive coactivator of PPAR-gamma-like protein 1, with no coding region annotated. The record is from RefSeq and is a predicted model, not a curated record. Lineage: Eukaryota; Metazoa; Mollusca; Bivalvia; Myida; Dreissenidae. The transcript has 20 exons.